Fundulus heteroclitus (mummichog) is the source of this 300-nucleotide small nucleolar RNA. Lineage: Eukaryota; Metazoa; Chordata; Actinopteri; Cyprinodontiformes; Fundulidae. The record is from RefSeq and is a predicted model, not a curated record.
GCCCAGUGAUGAGACUAAGGCGAAUAUGAGCUCAUUGAAUGAGAGCCGGGUUCUUGUUGCCUUUACUGGCAGGUAAUCUUGGCAGUGCAGAGGAGGAUUUCUGCUCUGCUGUAAGGGCCUGCCGACAGAGACUUAGCUCAGCCAGCAUUAUUCCUCUACAGUUAUCGUGGAGUAAUGGCUUGGGUGAUGCUGACAGUGUGUGUGCGCGUGUGUGUGUGCGUGUGCAGAAGGCAAAAAGUUCACCCGGCUCUCUUUGAUGUUCAGUGAGCUAUGACUUUCGUCUUUGGUAAUCUGAGGGCA